RNAcentral lists this ribosomal RNA (253 nucleotides) under uncultured bacterium. RNAcentral describes it as "partial 16S ribosomal RNA". It matches the Rfam family "Bacterial small subunit ribosomal RNA", at positions 524 to 776 of the family's 1533-position model. The record is from RNAcentral.
UACAGAGGGUGCGAGCGUUGUCCGGAAUUAUUGGGCGUAAAGAGCUCGUAGGCGGUUUGUCGCGUCUGCUGUGAAAACGCGAGGCUCAACCUCGCGCCUGCAGUGGGUACGGGCAGGCUAGAGUUCGGUAGGGGAGACUGGAAUUCCUGGUGUAGCGGUGAAAUGCGCAGAUAUCAGGAGGAACACCGGUGGCGAAGGCGGGUCUCUGGGCCGAUACUGACGCUGAGGAGCGAAAGCGUGGGGAGCGAACAGG